UUUUCUUCUCUAGAAAGUCCGGCAUCCAAGAUUUGCCAAGCUAAUUCGGGCCUGGGAAGAACCCGUGAUAAACACAGAGGCAAAAGAUGGUGUUUUGAAACCAGGAACUAGCACCGUCUUUGAGGACCAUAAUUCUAAUAGUGAAAAUGAAGAUGCAGUUAGAACCUUUUCCCAACCAUCCACUGAAGUUUCAGGCUUUUCUCAUCCUGCCUUCCCAGCACCGGAACCUCUCACGUCUUCAGUAGUCCUUGGUGUUUCAGAGGGAGAGGCAACAAAGCCAAAAACUGGGGGAAAAGAGAACGGCCCUCGGACAAUUAACAGUGUUCUAAAGGAGCAAGCAGAUCAGAGCAAGUUGAU
Non-coding RNA from Vicugna pacos (alpaca), 357 nucleotides. NCBI's taxonomy places the organism in Eukaryota, Metazoa, Chordata, Mammalia, Artiodactyla, Camelidae. The record is from RefSeq and is a predicted model, not a curated record.